GAGGGUAUAGCUCAGUGGUAGAGUGCAUGCUUAGCAUGCAUGAGGUCCUGGGUUCAAUCCCCAGGACCUCUA
This 72-nucleotide transfer RNA is filed under the name Camelus ferus (Wild Bactrian camel). It matches the Rfam family "tRNA". From Rfam's summary of the family: Transfer RNA (tRNA) molecules are approximately 80 nucleotides in length. Lineage: Eukaryota; Metazoa; Chordata; Mammalia; Artiodactyla; Camelidae. The record is from Rfam by way of RNAcentral.